RNAcentral lists this transfer RNA (75 nucleotides) under Armatimonadota bacterium. Its description in RNAcentral is "Armatimonadetes bacterium (groundwater metagenome) tRNA-Val". It matches the Rfam family "tRNA". From Rfam's summary of the family: Transfer RNA (tRNA) molecules are approximately 80 nucleotides in length. Their secondary structure includes four short double-helical elements and three loops (D, anti-codon, and T loops). Further hydrogen bonds mediate the characteristic L-shaped molecular structure. tRNAs have two regions of fundamental functional importance: the anti-codon, which is responsible for specific mRNA codon recognition, and the 3' end, to which the tRNAs corresponding amino acid is attached (by aminoacyl-tRNA synthetases). tRNAs cope with the degeneracy of the genetic code in two manners: having more than one tRNA (with a specific anti-codon) for a particular amino acid; and 'wobble' base-pairing, i.e. permitting non-standard base-pairing at the 3rd anti-codon position. Lineage: Bacteria; Bacillati; Armatimonadota. The record is from RNAcentral.
GGGCGAAUAGCUCAGCGGGAGAGCAUCUGCCUUACACGCAGGCGGUCGCAGGUUCAAAUCCUGCUUCGCCCACCA